RNAcentral lists this ribosomal RNA (513 nucleotides) under uncultured Saccharomyces. RNAcentral's name for it is "eukaryotic LSU rRNA". It matches the Rfam family "Eukaryotic large subunit ribosomal RNA", at positions 62 to 578 of the family's 3401-position model. Lineage: Eukaryota; Fungi; Ascomycota; Saccharomycetes; Saccharomycetales; Saccharomycetaceae. The record is from RNAcentral.
AAACCAACCGGGAUUGCCUUAGUAACGGCGAGUGAAGCGGCAAAAGCUCAAAUUUGAAAUCUGGUACCUUCGGUGCCCGAGUUGUAAUUUGGAGAGGGCAACUUUGGGGCCGUUCCUUGUCUAUGUUCCUUGGAACAGGACGUCAUAGAGGGUGAGAAUCCCGUGUGGCGAGGAGUGCGGUUCUUUGUAAAGUGCCUUCGAAGAGUCGAGUUGUUUGGGAAUGCAGCUCUAAGUGGGUGGUAAAUUCCAUCUAAAGCUAAAUAUUGGCGAGAGACCGAUAGCGAACAAGUACAGUGAUGGAAAGAUGAAAAGAACUUUGAAAAGAGAGUGAAAAAGUACGUGAAAUUGUUGAAAGGGAAGGGCAUUUGAUCAGACAUGGUGUUUUGUGCCCUCUGCUCCUUGUGGGUAGGGGAAUCUCGCAUUUCACUGGGCCAGCAUCAGUUUUGGUGGCAGGAUAAAUCCAUAGGUAUGUAGCUUGCCUCGGUAAGUAUUAUAGCCUGUGGGAAUACUGCC